Molecule: ribosomal RNA, 450 nt
Filed under: uncultured bacterium
Lineage: Bacteria
Description: partial 16S ribosomal RNA
Rfam family: Bacterial small subunit ribosomal RNA
Source: RNAcentral
CCUACGGGGGGCUGCAGUAGGGAAUAUUGGACAAUGGGCGAAAGCCUGAUCCAGCCAUGCCGCGUGAUAGAUGAAGGCCCUCUGGGUUGUAAAUAUCUUUUAUCUGGGAAGAAACAAUCUUAUUCUUAAGAUCUUGACGGUACCAGAGGAAUAAGCACCGGCUAACUCCGUGCCAGCAGCCGCGGUAAUACGGAGGGUGCAAGCUUCAUCCGGAUUCACGGGUGCGUAAGCGGGCUGAGAAGGGCGGGGUGAAAGCUCCGAGCUUAACUUGGAAGCUGCCAUUGAUACUGCCAGUCUUGAAUGUCGUAGAGGUAAGCGGAAUGUUGCAUGUAGCGGUGAAAUGCUUAGAUAUGUUACAGAACACCAAUUGCGAAGGCAGCUUACUAUGCGAUGAUUGACGCUGAGGCACGAAAGCGUGGGGAGCAAACAGGAUUAGAUACCCCAGUAGUC